Homo sapiens (human) is the source of this 1232-nucleotide long non-coding RNA. Ensembl annotates it as MIR646 host gene. Its record names the gene MIR646HG. Lineage: Eukaryota; Metazoa; Chordata; Mammalia; Primates; Hominidae. The record is from Ensembl.
GAGGCCCGAUGCCGUAUCCUGCCGCCCGUUUUACCCGCGGGAAAGCCGAGGCCCGGUGCUGUAUUCUGCCGCCCAUUUUACCCGCGGGGAAGCUGAGGCCCAGUGCUGUUUAAUAUCUUACUCAUGUUCACUUGAUGAGAAAGUGACAGAUCUGAGACAAACCCAGAUCGACAGAAAAGAAAUGAGUCAACGAUGGUGCAGAAAGGGACCAGCUUGACGAAGCUUCUGCUUUUGUGACUGUCUCCUAAUGCACCGCCGGCUCCUACAAGCAGGCCCUGGAGAAGCCACUUCACCUCCGCGUCUCAGGCCACUCACCUCCAAAGACAGAUGCAAACUCCGCCUCCCUCCUCGGUGAGAGUUUGAGAUUCCAAAUACGAUUUCUGUGGAGAAAACAAAAAAGGACUCUGUUUUUAAUUCAAAAGGGAGAAGUGAAAUUCUACCUCACUUUUUUAAAAGAAGAGCCUGGAAUUGGCCUAUCCGUCUUUUUCCCCGUUGGAUCACAGAGCAGAAAGGAAGGUGGGCGUUUGUGUUCUGGGUGUUGUCCACGCUGGACGUGCCAGCAUCUCCCACUGAGCCAGAUGUUCCAGGGCUAAGGCCAGUUUCAUUUGAAGGCACAGCCUUACUAUAUCAUAUGCUCCCAGGCUCUCCCGCAGUUUAAAGACUUAACUCAGCGGCUUUCAGGGCCUGUGGUUGAGGGACUCCGAAAGAACUGUUGCUGGUGGACCGGUUCAGGGUCUUGACUUCGCCACACAAAAGAACUUGAGAGCACGUCCAAAGUAAAGCUAAGACCUCUAGUACAGUGUUCAAUGGAACUGGUGAGAAAAGACGUCCUUGCUGUGUUCCUGAUAUGAAGAGGAAAGCAGUCCUUCUCCAUUAAAUGCUGACAACAUGAGCCUCCCGUGGUCGGAACGGGCUUGUGAAGGCGGUGCUGGGGUGCACCAGGGCAGCAGCUACAGCCACUGUCAUUCCUACCUGGAGAGAGCUCAGGAGAGAGAUGGUCAGGACAGAAGUCCGUCUGUGGCUGAGUCAGUACCUCAGGUGGGAAGAAGCUGAUGGAAUCCUUCUUGGGCAGCUCCUGCCCCUCUCCAGCCUAACUGGUCAAGCCUGAGACACCUGAAGCCCUGGACUUGGAAUCUGAAGCUGUCAUCAGCCAGUACACCUAUGAACCUGUGGAAGACCUGAAGUACCUGUUUAAAAGACAGCCAAAAGAUAAGUAAAUACUUCCCAAAUUU